RNAcentral lists this ribosomal RNA (1387 nucleotides) under uncultured bacterium. RNAcentral's name for it is "16S ribosomal RNA". It matches the Rfam family "Bacterial small subunit ribosomal RNA". The record is from RNAcentral.
CCUGGCUCAGGAUGAACGCUAGCUCCAGGCUUAACACAUGCAAGUCGAGGGGCAGCAUCAUCAAAGCUUGCUUUGAUGGAUGGCGACCGGCGCACGGGUGAGUAACACGUAUCCAACCUGCCGACAACACUGGGAUAGCCUUUCGAAAGAAAGAUUAAUACCGGAUGGCAUAGUUUUCCCGCAUGGGAUAAUUAUUAAAGAAUUUCGGUUGUCGAUGGGGAUGCGUUCCAUUAGGCAGUUGGCGGGGUAACGGCCCACCAAACCAACGAUGGAUAGGGGUUCUGAGAGGAAGGUCCCCCACAUUGGAACUGAGACACGGUCCAAACUCCUACGGGAGGCAGCAGUGAGGAAUAUUGGUCAAUGGACGAGAGUCUGAACCAGCCAAGUAGCGUGAAGGAUGACUGCCCUAUGGGUUGUAAACUUCUUUUAUACGGGAAUAAAGUUAGCCACGUGUGGCUUUUUGUAUGUACCGUAUGAAUAAGGAUCGGCUAACUCCGUGCCAGCAGCCGCGGUAAUACGGAGGAUCCGAGCGUUAUCCGGAUUUAUUGGGUUUAAAGGGAGCGUAGGCGGGUUGUUAAGUCAGUUGUGAAAGUUUGCGGCUCGACCGUAAAAUUGCAGUUGAUACUGGCGACCUUGAGUGCAACAGAGGUAGGCGGAAUUCGUGGUGUAGCGGUGAAAUGCUUAGAUAUCACGAAGAACUCCGAUUGCGAAGGCAGCUUACUGGAUUGUAACUGACGCUGAUGCUCGAAAGUGUGGGUAUCAAACAGGAUUAGAUACCCUGGUAGUCCACACAGUAAACGAUGAAUACUCGCUGUUGGCGAUAUACAGUCAGCGGCCAAGCGAAAGCAUUAAGUAUUCCACCUGGGGAGUACGCCGGCAACGGUGAAACUCAAAGGAAUUGACGGGGGCCCGCACAAGCGGAGGAACAUGUGGUUUAAUUCGAUGAUACGCGAGGAACCUUACCCGGGCUUGAAUUGCAGGUGGAUGGGCCAGAGACGGCCCUUUCCUUCGGGACUCCUGUGAAGGUGCUGCAUGGUUGUCGUCAGCUCGUGCCGUGAGGUGUCGGCUUAAGUGCCAUAACGAGCGCAACCCUUCUCCCCAGUUGCCAUCGGGUAAUGCCGGGCCCUCUGGGGACACUGCCAUCGUAAGAUGCGAGGAAGGUGGGGAUGACGUCAAAUCAGCACGGCCCUUACGUCCGGGGCUACGCACGUGUUACAAUGGGGGGUACAGAGGGCCGCUGUCCGGUGACGGCCGGCCAAUCCCUAAAACCCCUCUCAGUUCGGACUGGAGUCUGCAACCCGACUCCACGAAGCUGGAUUCGCUAGUAAUCGCGCAUCAGCCAUGGCGCGGUGAAUACGUUCCCGGGCCUUGCACUCACCGCCCGUCA